This 87-nucleotide transfer RNA is filed under the name Klebsiella pneumoniae. RNAcentral's name for it is "tRNA-Leu". It matches the Rfam family "tRNA". Rfam says of the family: Transfer RNA (tRNA) molecules are approximately 80 nucleotides in length. Their secondary structure includes four short double-helical elements and three loops (D, anti-codon, and T loops). RNAcentral also lists the same sequence under 1 other name. The record is from RNAcentral. Lineage: Bacteria; Pseudomonadati; Pseudomonadota; Gammaproteobacteria; Enterobacterales; Enterobacteriaceae.
GCGAAGGUGGCGGAAUUGGUAGACCCGCUAGCUUCAGGUGUUAGUGUCCUUACGGACGUGGGGGUUCAAGUCCCCCCCCUCGCACCA